AGCGUACACGGUGGAUGCCUAGGCAGUCAGAGGCGAUGAAGGGCGUGCUAAUCUGCGAAAAGCGUCGGUAAGGUGAUAUGAACCGUUAUAACCGGCGAUACCCGAAUGGGGAAACCCAGUGUGUUUCGACACACUAUCAUGUCAUGAAUACAUAGUGGCAUGAGGCGAACCGGGGGAACUGAAACAUCUAAGUACCCCGAGGAAAAGAAAUCAACCGAGAUUCCCCCAGUAGCGGCGAGCGAACGGGGAGGAGCCCAGAACCUGAAUCGGCUUGUGUGUUAGUGGAAGCGUCUGGAAAGUCGCGCAGCAAAGGGUGAUAGCCCCGUACACUAAAAUGCACAGGUCGUGAGUUCGAUGAGUAGGGCGGGACACGUGACAUCCUGUCUGAAUAUGGGGGGACCAUCCUCCAAGGCUAAAUACUCCUGACUGACCGAUAGUGAACCAGUACCGUGAGGGAAAGGCGAAAAGAACCCCGGCGAGGGGAGUGAAAUAGAACCUGAAACCGUGUACGUACAAGCAGUGGGAGCACCUUCGUGGUGUGACUGCGUACCUUUUGUAUAAUGGGUCAGCGACUUAUAUUUUGUAGCAAGGUUAACCGUAUAGGGGAGCCGUAGGGAAACCGAGUCUUAACUGGGCGAUUAGUUGCAAGGUAUAGACCCGAAACCCGGUGAUCUAGCCAUGGGCAGGUUGAAGGUUGGGUAACACUAACUGGAGGACCGAACCGACUAAUGUUGAAAAAUUAGCGGAUGACUUGUGGCUGGGGGUGAAAGGCCAAUCAAACCGGGAGAUAGCUGGUUCUCCCCGAAAGCUAUUUAGGUAGCGCCUCGUGAACUCAUCUUCGGGGGUAGAGCACUGUUUCGGCUAGGGGGCCAUCCCGGCUUACCAAACCGAUGCAAACUCCGAAUACCGAAGAAUGUUAUCACGGGAGACACACGGCGGGUGCUAACGUCCGUCGUGAAGAGGGAAACAACCCAGACCGCCAGCUAAGGUCCCAAAGUCAUGGUUAAGUGGGAAACGAUGUGGGAAGGCACAGACAGCCAGGAUGUUGGCUUAGAAGCAGCCAUCAUUUAAAGAAAGCGUAAUAGCUCACUGGUCGAGUCGGCCUGCGCGGAAGAUGUAACGGGGCUAAACCAUGCACCGAAGCUGCGGCAGCGACGCUUAGGCGUUGUUGGGUAGGGGAGCGUUCUGUAAGCCGUUGAAGGUGGCCUGUGAGGGUUGCUGGAGGUAUCAGAAGUGCGAAUGCUGACAUAAGUAACGAUAAAGCGGGUGAAAAGCCCGCUCGCCGGAAGACCAAGGGUUCCUGUCCAACGUUAAUCGGGGCAGGGUGAGUCGACCCCUAAGGCGAGGCUGAAAAGCGUAGUCGAUGGGAAACAGGUUAAUAUUCCUGUACUUGGUGUUACUGCGAAGGGGGGACGGAGAAGGCUAGGCUGGCCGGGCGACGGUUGUCCCGGUUUAAGCGUGUAGGGGGUGUGACCUGGUAAAUCCGGUUGCAUAUCAACCCUGAGGCGUGAUGACGAUGCACUACGGUGCAGAAGUAGUUGAUGCCCUGCUUCCAGGAAAAUCCUCUAAGCUCCAGGUAACAUUAAAUCGUACCCCAAACCGACACAGGUGGUCAGGUAGAGAAUACCAAGGCGCUUGAGAGAACUCGGGUGAAGGAACUAGGCAAAAUGGUGCCGUAACUUCGGGAGAAGGCACGCUGGCAUGUAGGUGAAGUCCCUCGCGGAUGGAGCUGAAGCCAGUCGAAGAUACCAGCUGGCUGCAACUGUUUAAUAAAAACACAGCACUGUGCAAACACGAAAGUGGACGUAUACGGUGUGACGCCUGCCCGGUGCUGGAAGGUUAAUUGAUGGGGUCAGCCGCAAGGCGAAGCUCUUGAUCGAAGCCCCAGUAAACGGCGGCCGUAACUAUAACGGUCCUAAGGUAGCGAAAUUCCUUGUCGGGUAAGUUCCGACCUGCACGAAUGGCGUAAUGAUGGCCAGGCUGUCUCCACCCGAGACUCAGUGAAAUUGAACUCGCUGUGAAGAUGCAGUGUACCCGCGGCAAGACGGAAAGACCCCGUGAACCUUUACUAUAGCUUGACACUGAACAUUGAGCCUUGAUGUGUAGGAUAGGUGGGAGGCUUUGAAGCGUGGACGCCAGUCUGCGUGGAGCCAUCCUUGAAAUACCACCCUUUAAUGUUUGAUGUUCUAACUCUGCCCCAUAAUCUGGGGUGAGGACAGUGUCUGGUGGGUAGUUUGACUGGGGCGGUCUCCUCCCAAAGAGUAACGGAGGAGCACGAAGGUUAGCUAAUCACGGUCGGACAUCGUGAGGUUAGUGCAAAGGCAUAAGCUAGCUUGACUGCGAGAGUGACGGCUCGAGCAGGUACGAAAGUAGGUCUUAGUGAUCCGGUGGUUCUGAAUGGAAGGGCCAUCGCUCAACGGAUAAAAGGUACUCCGGGGAUAACAGGCUGAUACCGCCCAAGAGUUCAUAUCGACGGCGGUGUUUGGCACCUCGAUGUCGGCUCAUCACAUCCUGGGGCUGAAGUAGGUCCCAAGGGUAUGGCUGUUCGCCAUUUAAAGUGGUACGCGAGCUGGGUUUAGAACGUCGUGAGACAGUUCGGUCCCUAUCUGCCGUGGGCGUUGGAAGAUUGAGAGGGGUUGCUCCUAGUACGAGAGGACCGGAGUGAACGCACCACUGGUGUUCGGGUUGUCAUGCCAAUGGCAUUGCCCGGUAGCUAAGUGCGGAAAAGAUAAGCGCUGAAAGCAUCUAAGCGCGAAACUUGCCUCAAGAUGAGUCUUCCCUGGACCUUUAAGGUCCCUGAAGGAACGUUUAAGACUAAGACGUUGA
Molecule: ribosomal RNA, 2826 nt
Filed under: Serratia marcescens
Lineage: Bacteria; Pseudomonadati; Pseudomonadota; Gammaproteobacteria; Enterobacterales; Yersiniaceae
Description: bacterial LSU rRNA
Rfam family: Bacterial large subunit ribosomal RNA
Source: RNAcentral